UAACAAGAUCUCUUGUUCUGCAUCGAUGAAAACGCAGCGAAAUGCAUAAGUAAUGUGAAUUGCAGAAUUCAGUGAAUCAUCGAAUCUUUGAACGCACAUUGCGCCCGCCAGCAUUCUGGGCAUGCCUUU
This 129-nucleotide ribosomal RNA is filed under the name Colletotrichum higginsianum. RNAcentral describes it as "5.8S ribosomal RNA". It matches the Rfam family "5.8S ribosomal RNA", at positions 15 to 144 of the family's 154-position model. Rfam says of the family: 5.8S ribosomal RNA (5.8S rRNA) is a component of the large subunit of the eukaryotic ribosome. It is transcribed by RNA polymerase I as part of the 45S precursor that also contains 18S and 28S rRNA. Lineage: Eukaryota; Fungi; Ascomycota; Sordariomycetes; Glomerellales; Glomerellaceae. The record is from RNAcentral.